RNAcentral lists this ribosomal RNA (449 nucleotides) under uncultured bacterium. RNAcentral's name for it is "partial 16S ribosomal RNA". It matches the Rfam family "Bacterial small subunit ribosomal RNA", at positions 29 to 523 of the family's 1533-position model. The record is from RNAcentral.
AACGAACGCUGGCGGCAUGCCUAAUACAUGCAAGUCGAACGAGAUCUUCGGAUCUAGUGGCGCACGGGUGCGUAACGCGUGGGAAUCUGCCCUUGGGUUCGGAAUAACAUCGGGAAACUGAUGCUAAUACCGGAUGAUGACGUAAGUCCAAAGAUUUAUCGGCAAAGGAUCGGCCCGCGUUGGAUUAGCUAGUUGGUGGGGUAAUGGCCCACCAAGGCGACGAUCCAUAGCUGGUUUGAGAGGAUGACCGGCCACACUGGGACUGAGACACGGCCCAGACUCCUACGGGAGGCAGCAGUGGGGAAUCUUAGACAAUGGGGGCAACCCUGAUCUAGCCAUGCCGCGUGAGUGAUGAAGGCCUUAGGGUUGUAAAGCUCUUUCGCUGGGGAAGAUAAUGACUGUACCCAGUAAAGAAGCCCCGGCUAACUCCGUGCCAGCCGCCGCGGUAA